RNAcentral lists this long non-coding RNA (1880 nucleotides) under Mus musculus (house mouse). RNAcentral's name for it is "long non-coding RNA chr16:24896565-24898445". Lineage: Eukaryota; Metazoa; Chordata; Mammalia; Rodentia; Muridae. The record is from RNAcentral.
GCUGUAAUAGCCUCUGAUGUUGGUGACACAUGCCGAGUACUCUCACCUUACUUCCUAAUUAGCUACUUGCUUAGUUGUCUAAUAGUGUGUCAAACUUUGUUUUGUACAGAAAUAUUCCAUGGACAUUCAUAAAUAAUAUAUACCCUUUCUGAAGAGUGACUCCAAAAGAACUAUUUUGUUAGAUAAACACAUUAAUGAGAACAUUCCAAGGUCAGAUGAAACUGUGGUAAACAAAGAGCCAGUAAAACUACUAGCUGAUGAGAAAAAAAAAAUGGGAUAUAGGAUCGUGCUCAGUGGUAAUCCACUUGCCUACCAUUUGUAAGGCAGGAAACAAACAAGGAAACAUGAAAAGGAGGGAAACAAAAAAAUAGAAAAAUAAGCAAAGAUAAAUUAGCAAAUUCUGAUAGUUAUAUUCAAGUUAUAGUAUUUCAAGAGAAUAUUUUACAAAGUCAAAUAUCAAUAUCCUAUAAUAUGAAAAGCAAAAUACAAUUUAUGACAAAACUACCAGAUUAACCAGCGGACAUGAUGUUAUUCGCAAGCCUCCCGUAUUGCAGGAAGGAUCAGACUUCUUCCCCUUCUGUAAGUAUCGCUACACAGAGAAACCCUGUCUUGAAAAACCCAAAAAUAAAACAAAACAAAGUCUCACUGCACUGAAAUAUAUAGCAAGCAAUCCUGAUGAAUGAUGUGGCAAAAUGAAGACACCUGUUCUUUAGAAAGCACAUUUCUUUCUGUCUUUGACCAAUUAAUUACAGGAGUUGGAUAAUACAAUUAAUAAGAUUGAUUGAGUCAAGAUACAUUGAGUGUGGGGCUGGUGAGAUGGCUCAGCAGUUAAGAGCACCGACUGCUCUUCGUAAGGUCCUGAAUUCAAAUCCCAGCAACCACAUGGUGGCUCACAACCAUCCACAACAAAAAUCUGAUGCCCUCUUCUGGAGUGUCUGAAGACAGCUACAGUGUACACACAUAUAAUAAUUAAUUUAAAAAUUUUUUUUAAAAGAUACAUUGACUGUAUAAUAAAGAAAUUUAUUUUCCCGAUAUCCAUAAAAUAUUUAGAAAAACAUUUAUCAAAUCAAAAUCUAAAAGGAAAAUACAUAUGGUACACCAGUUUAGUCCUACAUCUUGGGAGGCUGAAGUAGGUAUGUUGCAAGUUCAUGGCCACUCUUGAUUACAUAGGGAAACCCUGUCCAAAAGGAAAAAGCAAACAAAUUCUGAAAGGGAACUGUAGCUGAAUCCAGCAGUUGACUAGCCAAGAUAACAGCCGAGAAAUGAAAAGUUAAGUAAACAAACACCCUGCUUGUGCAGACUGCUUCAACUACGGAAGGAAGAUGAUAAUGCCUGCCAGACAGAGGACGUGGAUGGAGGUCUAAGUCACAGAAGCCACUGUAAGGAGAGUACAGAAAAUACCUUGAUGCUCAUAGGAGAUGCUGCCUAAAGAAGGGGUGGGAUGCAGGCCAUUCAUGACAAGUUGUUGGUAACUGAAAAAAAAUUCUAGGAUAUUCUAUAACAGUGAAUUCAAGGCCAGCUGAGGUUAGAAAAGACCCUGUCUCAUGGGGAAGGGUCGGAGGUGGGUGGGAAUUAAUGAAUGCGGUACAAAUAAAUCUAGACAAAUGUUACAAACUGUGGGGGUGAAAAAAGUGUGGGCAUAACUAUAGACCAUUUCCUUUCUCUCCACUGAACCUAGGCUCCUUUGCUCUGAGUAAAAUGCUUUAAUCCUAGUACACUUUUUCUCAAUGUAGCCUUGCUAACAUGCACAAAACCUUAAUUUCAAAACCCAUGCUUCAUAAACCAGGUAUGCUAGCACAUACCUGUAACUACAGCCAGGGAGGUGAAGACAGGGUGAUUAGGAGUUCAAUGCCAGCCAGGGGUGCAGUAGACCUUCCCUC